CUAAGGUGGGAGAUAACCCCGGGAAACUGGGGAUAAUACCCCAUAAUCUAUGGAAGCUGGAAUGCUCUAUAGUUGAAAGAUUUAUCGCCUUAGGAUGGGUCUGCGGCCGAUUAGGUAGUUGUUGGGGUAACGGCCCAACAAGCCUUUGAUCGGUACGGGUUGUGGGAGCAAGAGCCCGGAGAUGGAUUCUGAGACACGAAUCCAGGCCCUACGGGGCGCAGCAGGCGCGAAAACUUUACAAUGCGGGAAACCGUGAUAAGGGAACUCCGAGUGCCCGUAAACGCGGGCUGUCCAUCUGCUUAAAAAACAGGUGAAGAAAGGGCCGGGCAAGACCGGUGCCAGCCGCCGCGGUAAUACCGGCGGCUCGAGUGGUGGCCACUAUUACUGGGCUUAAAGCGUCCGUAGCUUGGUUGUUAAGUCUCUUGGGAAAUCUGUCGGCUUAACCGACAGGCGUUUAAGGGAUACUGGCAAUCUAGGGACCGGGAGAGGUGAGAGGUGCUUCAGGGGUAGGAGUGAAAUCCUGUAAUCCUUGGGGGACCACCUGUGGCGUAGGCGUCUCACCAGAACGGCUCCGACAGUGAGGGACGAAAGCUGGGGGAGCAAACCGGAUUAGAUACCCGGGUAGUCCCAGCCGUAAACGAUGCGCGUUAGGUGUAUCGGUGACCACGAGUCACCGAGGUGCCGAAGGGAAACCGUGAAACGUGCCGCCUGGGAAGUACGGUCGCAAGGCUGAAACUUAAAGGAAUUGGCGGGGGAGCACCACAACAGGUGGAGCCUGCGGUUUAAUCGGACUCAACGCCGGAAACCUCACCGGAUAAGACAGCGGGAUGAUAGCCAGGCUGAAGACUUUGCUUGACUAGCUGAGAGGAGGUGCAUGG
This 878-nucleotide ribosomal RNA is filed under the name uncultured archaeon. RNAcentral's name for it is "bacterial SSU rRNA". It matches the Rfam family "Archaeal small subunit ribosomal RNA", at positions 114 to 997 of the family's 1478-position model. The record is from RNAcentral.